Long non-coding RNA from Mustela lutreola (European mink), 512 nucleotides. RefSeq lists it as uncharacterized. Lineage: Eukaryota; Metazoa; Chordata; Mammalia; Carnivora; Mustelidae. The transcript has 3 exons. The record is from RefSeq and is a predicted model, not a curated record.
CCUUCCCUCCACUCAGGCAUGCAUGCUCUCUCUCUCUCUCUCUCUCAAAUAAAUGAAAUCUUUUUUAAAAAAAUGGGGUGCCUGGGCGGCUCAGAUGGGUUCCUGGAUGCAAGCACAGAACCUGAUUCUCACUUAUGCAGAAAAGGAGGGGACUGAAGACCAUCAGAUAAGAGCACAUAACCUGAGUCUUCUACACAUAAUCUGAAAUUGAGGGAUUCUAUCAAGAGAAAGCUUCAUGGGCGUGAGAGUAACACAGAUAAUGCCCGAAAUCACUUCACAUCCAGUUCGAACACUUCAAAAGUGGAAAGAAAAUACUUAAAAAUUCAAAAUAUUUUUUAAAAGGCUGAGGCAGACGGGAGUAUGGUGUGAAAACCAAACUCUGUAGCAGAACGGCUGGAUUCCAUCACCUCGGAUCAGCACUCACCUUCCUUAGGUCUCAUUCCAUCACCACUAAUUUGGCUUUUCAAGACCUUAAGUUAUUAAAAUUGUCUGAAUAUUUCCUUUUCAACAAA